UGCGGGGUGACGUCACGACGG
Molecule: unclassified non-coding RNA, 21 nt
Filed under: Chlamydomonas reinhardtii
Lineage: Eukaryota; Viridiplantae; Chlorophyta; Chlorophyceae; Chlamydomonadales; Chlamydomonadaceae
Description: small RNA Cre_3130
Source: RNAcentral